UGGAGGAAGUGGUACUGAAGGUAAGGUAUGGAAGGAGGAUGGAGGAAGUGGUACUGAAGGUAAUGUAUGGAAGGAGGAUGGAGGAAGUGGUACUGAAGGUAAUGUAUGGAAGGAGGAGGGAGGAGGAUGGAGGAAGUGGUACUGAAGGUAAUGUAUGGAAGGAGGAGGAUGGAGGAAGUGGUACUGAAGGUAAUGUAUGGAAGGAGGAGGAUGGAGGAAGUGGUACUGAAGGUAAUGUAUGGAAGGAGGAGGAUGGAGGAAGUGGUACUGAAGGUAAUGUAUGGAAGGAGGAGGGGGGAGGAUGGAGGAAGUGGUACUGAAGGUAAGGCAUGGAAGGAGGAGGGGGAGGAUGGAGGAAGUGGUACUGAAGGUAAUGUAUGGAGGAUGGGAGUGAGCGAGUUGUUAUGGGAUACGGGGGAUGUUUAAAUCAAAGGUUUACACUACAGCUUCGCUCCAACAUCAAAGCUUGCC
Oncorhynchus tshawytscha (Chinook salmon) is the source of this 471-nucleotide long non-coding RNA. The record is from Ensembl. Lineage: Eukaryota; Metazoa; Chordata; Actinopteri; Salmoniformes; Salmonidae.